Delphinapterus leucas (beluga whale) is the source of this 298-nucleotide non-coding RNA. Lineage: Eukaryota; Metazoa; Chordata; Mammalia; Artiodactyla; Monodontidae. The record is from RefSeq and is a predicted model, not a curated record.
UUCAUCAGAGCACUUGAUUGCUUUCAGAGUUGAGACAGCCAAGUCUUUAUUGUGUUUUCUUCCUCUAGGAAGCCAGUGAAGGUUUUGACAGGACCACAGUCAAAGAAUACUCAGGGAGCAGGUGAUUUAUCAGAAAUGCUUGCAAAAAAAAUGCCUCCUGAGUGCAACCUGACUUCCAGGUCCUCUCUUGAACUCUCUACAACUCCCAGCAACUUCUGACAUUCAAAAGGCUUGUGCAUGUAAGGGGCCCUGGCACAUCAAGUUCAUUAGUCUCAAGAUUCUUUUCCCAUAUAGGUUA